RNAcentral lists this ribosomal RNA (413 nucleotides) under uncultured bacterium. RNAcentral's name for it is "bacterial LSU rRNA". It matches the Rfam family "Bacterial large subunit ribosomal RNA", at positions 351 to 769 of the family's 2925-position model. The record is from RNAcentral.
CCGACCAGAGGGGUGAGAGUCCCGUAGGUGAAGGGGAGUGAUGUGGGAAGUAUCCUGAGUACCACAAGGCACGCUAACCUGGUGGGAAGCUGGGACGACCACGUUCCAAGGCUAAAUACACUUGACGACCGAUAGCGCAAGAGUACAGUGAUGGAAAGGUGAAAAGAACCCCGGCGAGGGGAGUGAAAGAGAAUCUGAAACCGUAUGCUUACAGACGGUCAGAGGGGGUAAAACCCUGAUGGCGUGCCUAUUGGAGAAUGAGCCCGCGAGUCAAUAGCUGUGGCCAGCUUAAGGGAGUGACACCCGGAGGCGAAGCGAAAGCGAGUCUGAAUAGGGCGAUUAGUGGCAGUUAUUGGACACGAAACCAGACGAGCUAACCAUGUGCAGGGUGAAAGUCCGGUGACACGGACGGG